Molecule: ribosomal RNA, 635 nt
Filed under: Microbacterium sp. So2Ps_878
Lineage: Bacteria; Bacillati; Actinomycetota; Actinomycetes; Micrococcales; Microbacteriaceae
Description: bacterial SSU rRNA
Rfam family: Bacterial small subunit ribosomal RNA
Source: RNAcentral
CUGAUGCAGCAACGCCGCGUGAGGGACGACGGCCUUCGGGUUGUAAACCUCUUUUAGCAGGGAAGAAGCGAAAGUGACGGUACCUGCAGAAAAAGCACCGGCUAACUACGUGCCAGCAGCCGCGGUAAUACGUAGGGUGCAAGCGUUAUCCGGAAUUAUUGGGCGUAAAGAGCUCGUAGGCGGUUUGUCGCGUCUGCUGUGAAACCCCGAGGCUCAACCUCGGGCCUGCAGUGGGUACGGGCAGACUAGAGUGCGGUAGGGGAGAUUGGAAUUCCUGGUGUAGCGGUGGAAUGCGCAGAUAUCAGGAGGAACACCGAUGGCGAAGGCAGAUCUCUGGGCCGUAACUGACGCUGAGGAGCGAAAGGGUGGGGAGCAAACAGGCUUAGAUACCCUGGUAGUCCACCCCGUAAACGUUGGGAACUAGUUGUGGGGUCCAUUCCACGGAUUCCGUGACGCAGCUAACGCAUUAAGUUCCCCGCCUGGGGAGUACGGCCGCAAGGCUAAAACUCAAAGGAAUUGACGGGGACCCGCACAAGCGGCGGAGCAUGCGGAUUAAUUCGAUGCAACGCGAAGAACCUUACCAAGGCUUGACAUAUACGAGAACGCUGCAGAAAUGUAGAACUCUUUGGACACUC